This 327-nucleotide ribosomal RNA is filed under the name uncultured bacterium. RNAcentral's name for it is "bacterial SSU rRNA". It matches the Rfam family "Bacterial small subunit ribosomal RNA", at positions 568 to 897 of the family's 1533-position model. The record is from RNAcentral.
CAAGUAGGUGGCCUGACAAGUGAGAGGUGAAAUCCCGCUACUCAAUAGCGGAACUGCCUUUCAAACUAUCGGGCUUGAGGUUGGGAGAAGAGAAUGGAAUUCCCGGUGUAAGGGUGAAAUCUGUAGAUAUCGGGAAGAACACCAGUGGCGAAAGCGAUUCUCUAGCCCAAUCCUGACACUGAAUUGCGAAAGCUAGGGGAGCAAACAGGAUUAGAUACCCUGGUAGUCCUAGCUGUAAACGAUGAGCACUAGGUGUUGGUCUUUCGGGAUCAGCGCCGCAGUUAACACAUUAAGUGCUCCACCUGGGGACUACGACCGCAAGGUUAA